CAUGGUUAAGCAAAAAGGCAAAAGUGAUUGCCAACUGAAAUGGCAAUACAACAACCAAGAAUUCCAUUACACAGAAAAUUUUAUGCCCUUUAAGGCCUCUACAUCACAUAAUCCCCACCAUUAUCUAAAAAUGAGAAUCAAAUACUACUACAACUACAGAAAAGAGAAGAAGCUUUAGGAGCUGCAAACAGAAACUCGAGCUUCGUCGAAAUUGCUUCUGUCAGCAUAGGAAAAUUUUAAACUAGGAAAAAUUUCUUUAUCGAAAUUCUCCCAUUUUACUCAAAAAGUUUUCAAGAAUUAAGAUUUUGCUAAAAAGUUUUUCAACCUCUCAGGCUUCCCCUUCCACCAAAAUAAUUGGGUUAUUUGUAGAAAGGAGAUGAAGUAUAAAUUGGGUCUUUGGGUGACGUGGGAGAAACAAUUCUUGAAUCCAAUGGCUAAAAAUUAAUAAAAAAGAUGAAUAAUAAUCAACCCUCGUUCGUCAUCAACUGUACGACAAAGGAAUAUGAGUGAUGUGUGUCCUUUUCUACAACAAUCCACGAAUUUUAUUAUAAUGUUUUGGGGGAAAUUUUGAGAGGGUUUUUUAAUUUGAAAGCGGGAUAAGAUUAACUUGAGUUAGGGGUUCAUACUAUCUGCUUCUGCAAGGCACGUUGAUGUAUGAACGACAGAGUUGAUAGUGAAAUGAGGGCCGUAUGAACAAAGCUGCUACUGCUUCAUUGUCGUUGUUGAUUGAUUAAGUCGAUUAAAGGGGAAGGAGAAACAGGUUAAGAACAUAAAGAAUGUCGUAGGCUUGGAUCGGGUCACGUGAUUGUGAAUUUAUCGGGAAUUGCAUGUUAUAGAUGCAAAUAUGGGUGAGUUUAGAUAUAAGUAUCAUUUUAUUUUUCUACACCUUAAAUAUAUUUUUUAAACUUUGCAUACUUAUUUUUUUCUCAAAUUUUAUUUUUUAUUAUUUUCACUUUUUAUUUUAAUUUUAUUUCUU
Molecule: long non-coding RNA, 976 nt
Filed under: Capsicum annuum
Lineage: Eukaryota; Viridiplantae; Streptophyta; Magnoliopsida; Solanales; Solanaceae
Description: long non-coding RNA (CANN_LNC015920)
Source: RNAcentral